CCGAAGCUGCGGGGCAGGUGCAGGUACCAACAUCCCUCGGGCCGAUAAUUGCUACUUUUGGGAGCUGUCCCUUGCGCGGGCCUUGGCCUGCGUGAUACGGCGCCCACCUGGUCAACCGGGCUAGUAGUGGAUUUGAUGCAUACCCACGGCUUUCGUGGCUUCACU
RNAcentral lists this non-coding RNA (165 nucleotides) under Alphaproteobacteria bacterium. RNAcentral describes it as "6S RNA". It matches the Rfam family "6S / SsrS RNA". From Rfam's summary of the family: E. coli 6S RNA was the first non coding RNA to be sequenced, but its function was unknown until recently. It consists of 184 nucleotides that fold into an extended hairpin structure with a large single-stranded internal bulge. The 6S RNA specifically associates with RNA polymerase holoenzyme containing the sigma70 specificity factor. Lineage: Bacteria; Pseudomonadati; Pseudomonadota; Alphaproteobacteria. The record is from RNAcentral. RNAcentral also lists the same sequence under 1 other name.